AGCGAACGCUGGCGGCAGGCUUAACACAUGCAAGUCGAGCGGGCACUUCGGUGUCAGCGGCAGACGGGUGAGUAACACGUGGGAACGUACCCUUCGGUUCGGAAUAACGCUGGGAAACUAGCGCUAAUACCGGAUACGCCCUUUUGGGGAAAGGUUUACUGCCGAAGGAUCGGCCCGCGUCUGAUUAGCUAGCUGGUGGGGUAAUGGCCUACCAAGGCGACGAUCAGUAGCUGGUCUGAGAGGAUGAUCAGCCACACUGGGACUGAGACACGGCCCAGACUCCUACGGGAGGCAGCAGUGGGGAAUAUUGGACAAUGGGCGCAAGCCUGAUCCAGCCAUGCCGCGUGAGUGAUGAAGGCCUUAGGGUUGUAAAGCUCUUUUGUCCGGGACGAUAAUGACGGUACCGGAAGAAUAAGCCCCGGCUAACUUCGUG
This 433-nucleotide ribosomal RNA is filed under the name uncultured bacterium. Its description in RNAcentral is "partial 16S ribosomal RNA". It matches the Rfam family "Bacterial small subunit ribosomal RNA", at positions 29 to 507 of the family's 1533-position model. The record is from RNAcentral.